AGGCUCCACAUAAUUCUUAAACCAUUCUCUGGCUUUCUUGCAUUUGAAUGUGAAACCUGCCAUCUCAAUGGCUCUCCUAUCAUCUGCUCCCAAUUCACUGGUUAUCAUCCUAACUGCUCUGAGGUAAUCAAAUGGAUCAUCUCCCGUGUUGUAUUUAGGAGCAUCCAAUUUCAAGUACUCUGUCAUUUGGACUUUACCUCCAGAUGAGCUAGGUUCAUGUCUGUCAACAACAGGGGCUACUGGUUCUGGUGGUAGUACUGGUUCAUUUGG
This 270-nucleotide long non-coding RNA is filed under the name Manihot esculenta (cassava). RNAcentral describes it as "long non-coding RNA (MESC_LNC012036)". The record is from RNAcentral. Lineage: Eukaryota; Viridiplantae; Streptophyta; Magnoliopsida; Malpighiales; Euphorbiaceae.